Molecule: ribosomal RNA, 459 nt
Filed under: uncultured bacterium
Lineage: Bacteria
Description: partial 16S ribosomal RNA
Rfam family: Bacterial small subunit ribosomal RNA
Source: RNAcentral
CCUACGGGUGGCUGCAGUGAGGAAUAUUGGUCAAUGGGCGGGAGCCUGAACCAGCCAAGUCGCGUGAAGGAAGAAGGUACUUAGUAUUGUAAACUUCUUUUGUCGGGGAACAAAGGCGGAGACGCGUCCCCGGCUGAGUGUACCCGAAGAAAAAGCAUCGGCUAACUCCGUGCCAGCAGCCGCGGUAAUACGGAGGAUGCGAGCGUUAUCCGGAUUUAUUGGGUUUAAAGGGUGCGUAGGCGGGCGAUCAAGUCAGCGGUAAAAGGUCGGGGCUCAACCCCGGCCGGCCGUUGAAACUGGUGGUCUGGAGUGGGAGAGAAGUAUGCGGAAUGCGUGGUGUAGCGGUGAAAUGCAUAGAUAUCGCGAAGAACUCCGAUUGCGAAGGCAGCAUACCGGCUCCAAACUGACGCUGAGGCACGAAAGCGUGGGUAUCGAACAGGAUUAGAUACCCGGGUAGUC